Molecule: non-coding RNA, 184 nt
Filed under: Planctomycetes bacterium B3_Pla
Lineage: Bacteria; Pseudomonadati; Planctomycetota
Description: 6S RNA
Rfam family: 6S / SsrS RNA
About the family: E. coli 6S RNA was the first non coding RNA to be sequenced, but its function was unknown until recently. It consists of 184 nucleotides that fold into an extended hairpin structure with a large single-stranded internal bulge.
Source: RNAcentral
UAACCCCUGCAGUGUUCGUACAGGAAGUAAUGUUUGAAAGAACCGAUACCCGUACUCAGGGAAAUCAGGCCUUGAUGGAUCGGAAAUGCCUACUCGAUAGGACUUUCGGACACAAGUAACGAUUGCCCACUUAGAAGUAAUGGGUUCUUCUCAAGCGCUUUCUUACGGCACCGGCGGAGGUGAG